Molecule: microRNA precursor, 96 nt
Organism: Oreochromis aureus
Lineage: Eukaryota; Metazoa; Chordata; Actinopteri; Cichliformes; Cichlidae
Source: Ensembl
UCCAGUGUUCCGCAGGUUGAGGUAGUAGGUUGUAUAGUUCAGAGUGACACCACAGGAGAUAACUGUACAGCCUCCUAGCUUUCCCUGAGGAAACAC